This 268-nucleotide ribosomal RNA is filed under the name uncultured archaeon. Its description in RNAcentral is "partial 16S ribosomal RNA". It matches the Rfam family "Archaeal small subunit ribosomal RNA", at positions 748 to 1010 of the family's 1478-position model. The record is from RNAcentral.
CAGCCGUAAACUAUGCGCGUUAGGUGUAUCGGUGACCACGGGUUACCGAGGUGCCGAAGGGAAACCGUGAAACGUGCCGCCUGGGAAGUACGGUCGCAAGGCUGAAACUUAAAGGAAUUGGCGGGGGGAGGCACCACAACAGGUGGGAGCCUGCGGGUUUAAUUUGGACUCAACGCCGGGAAGCUCACCGGAUAGGACAGCAGAAUGAUUGCCGGGCUGAAGACCCUGCAUGACUAGCUGAGAGGAGGUGCAUGGCGUCAGUGACUGU